This 253-nucleotide ribosomal RNA is filed under the name uncultured bacterium. RNAcentral's name for it is "partial 16S ribosomal RNA". It matches the Rfam family "Bacterial small subunit ribosomal RNA", at positions 524 to 776 of the family's 1533-position model. The record is from RNAcentral.
UACGAAGGGGGCUAGCGUUGCUCGGAAUCACUGGGCGUAAAGGGUGCGUAGGCGGCUGUCUAAGCAGGGUGUGAAAGCCCCCGGCUCAACCGGGGAAUUGCGUUCUGAACUGGACGGCUGGAGUGGGAUAGGGGUGUGUGGAACUUCCGGUGGAGCGGUGAAAUGUGUUGAUAUCGGAAGGAACGCCGGUGGCGAAAGCGACACACUGGGUCUCAACUGACGCUGAGGCACGAAAGCCAGGGGAGCGAACGGG